Thalassophryne amazonica is the source of this 310-nucleotide long non-coding RNA. RefSeq lists it as uncharacterized. NCBI's taxonomy places the organism in Eukaryota, Metazoa, Chordata, Actinopteri, Batrachoidiformes, Batrachoididae. The record is from RefSeq and is a predicted model, not a curated record. The transcript has 3 exons.
UUGUUUAAUUAGUGAUCUAAUGAUUGGUAUUUAACAGAUGGACAUUGGCAGUGUUACCUGAUUGGUGUCUAAUCACCGGAUGUGAGGUCAUUGCUCCGUAUGAUCAGCUUUGUCAAGGAUGCUUUGGUCAUGUCUGCUUCACUUGUGUCCUUCUGAUAAGUCAUUCCUCACCUCUACCUGGGAAAUAUUAAAGAUGCAACAGUUCAGGAGCAGCUGGAAAGAAAUAACAUCACAUCCUGUCCAUUUACGAGAACCCAGCUCCCGUCUUCCAGGGGAUGACCUGCCUCUGUAUUUCUGCAGCAGACCUGCC